This is a long non-coding RNA of Microplitis mediator, 1192 nucleotides long. RefSeq lists it as uncharacterized. Lineage: Eukaryota; Metazoa; Arthropoda; Insecta; Hymenoptera; Braconidae. The record is from RefSeq and is a predicted model, not a curated record. The transcript is spliced from 3 exons.
UCAAGUGUCACCACGUGUUUUGUAUAAUCUAUUCAAAUUGCGCUCAUCUCGAGUAACUAAUUAAAAGUAAUCAAUCAAUUACAUUCAGAGUUCAUUACUCUAUAUAAAAAUAUAAUUAUUUUUAUAAUCGCGAGCUCCAGAGCUCAUAAAAUAAUUAAUAAAUAACAUCAAGAAAUCCAGUGUUCUACAACCUGUUCCUGACGAGGUUAUUUUCGACGGAGAAAGCAACAGGUGCAUUUUUUAUUAAACAUUUACUUGCUAUCAGUGCUCAAUUAAUUUAAAAGACUCAGUUUUAUUAUUUAUUUAAUUAUCAUUAUGCUCAAUUUCUUAAUUAAUUUAAAAGUUAUGUUUCGCUCAGUAGCCUCUGCUAUCAUGCUACCACGUGUUCAACAAAUAAAUUAAAAUCAGUGUAAUUUAUCAUGAGCUCAUUAAAUUCAAUUCAAUUAAGUGAUCAUCACUAUUAAAACUCAAUAACAAAAUAUUUAUGUAUUCAGUGCUAUUAAAAAUAGUAAUUAAUGUGUUCACUUCGCUCAGUAACCUCUGACAUCAUGUUACUUAUUAUCAUGACAUUUUUGCAUUCAACUCAGUGUUCAAUUAAACUCAACUUGAUUAUUUUUAAUUCAUUAUUUACUCGAGCUCAACUCAAUAAUCUGUAUUCAAUUAUUCACGUAUUCAUGAGCUCAGACAAUUAACAGUAUUUAUAAAUUAAAUAAACUAUUUAAUUUGCAACCCAGUGAUAUUUUGUGCUGUGACAAAUAAAAAUAUUGUUAUAUUUUUAAACAUGCGUAUUUUUCAAACAUCCCAACCACCAACCAGUCCUGGCAUGUUUUUAUUUAAUUAAUAUUACAACAAUUUAUUAAUAAUUAAAUGAGUAAAAAAAAAGAAUCCGAGCAGUCUAACUGUACUUUUGGACGACGUUUUCGGAGCGGUACGGCCUACCUGCCUUUGUAUUCAUUAGCAGCUGCAACCUUUUUCAGGUAUACUGACAAAUAUAUAAUAUUAUAAUAUACUAUUGGAUGAAAAUGUGCACUAUGAAGAAGAUGAAGGCAUAAUGUAUGGUGCAGGCAUCGCUGAUUAGACAUCAUCCAUUCCAGAUAUUUCAUCAACAGCGCACACUCAUCUUUUUUUUUGGACCAGUCUUCUCCCUCAUUUUUAUGUAUAAAAACUGAUUAAAAUAAAUAUAAAAAAAAUU